Molecule: long non-coding RNA, 242 nt
Filed under: Sorghum bicolor (sorghum)
Lineage: Eukaryota; Viridiplantae; Streptophyta; Magnoliopsida; Poales; Poaceae
Description: long non-coding RNA (SBIC_LNC014743)
Source: RNAcentral
AAAGAAAAGAAAAAGUGAGACGAGAGGUAAAAAUAGACAAGUGUCCGACAGUAGAAUUAGGGGUACAAGAUACCCACCUGAGAGAAAAGAAAAAGAAAAUAUAGAGCAUCUCAUUCUCCUCAAAAAGCUUCAAAGUGCAAGAAAGGUAUGUAUCCCCUCAAAAGAGCAAACGUAGAAUUAGACUUUCACCAUUGAUUUCACCAUUAUCACCAUCAUCACCAUACACCAUUCAUUCGCCACAC